UACGAAGGGGGCUAGCGUUGUUCGGAUUUACUGGGCGUAAAGCGCACGUAGGCGGAUUGGUCAGUUAGGGGUGAAAUCCUGGAGCUCAACUCCAGAACUGCCUUUAAUACUGCCAGUCUCGAGUCCGGAAGAGGUAAGUGGAACUCCUAGUGUAGAGGUGGAAUUCGUAGAUAUUAGGAAGAACACCAGUGGCGAAGGCGGCUUACUGGUCCGGGUACUGACGCUGAGGUGCGAAAGCGUGGGGAGCAACAGG
Molecule: ribosomal RNA, 253 nt
Filed under: uncultured bacterium
Lineage: Bacteria
Description: partial 16S ribosomal RNA
Rfam family: Bacterial small subunit ribosomal RNA
Source: RNAcentral